GACGAACGCUGGUGGCGUGCUUAACACAUGCAAGUCGAACGGGAUUUAGUAAACAGAAGCCUCGGUGGAAGAUUACUAAUGAGAGUGGCGAACGGGUGAGUAACGCGUGAGCAACCUGCCUAUGACAGUGGGAUAGCCUCGGGAAACCGGGAUUAAUACCGCAUAAAAUCGUAGAAACACAUGUUUUAACGGUCAAAGAUUUAUCGGUCAUAGAUGGGCUCGCGUCUGAUUAGCUAGUUGGUGAGAUAACAGCCCACCAAGGCGACGAUCAGUAGCCGGUCUGAGAGGAUGAACGGCCACAUUGGAACUGAGACACGGUCCAAACUCCUACGGGAAGCAGCAGUGGGGAAUAUUGCACAAUGGGGGAAACCCUGAUGCAGCGACGCCGCGUGAACGAAGAGGGUAUUCGUAUCGUAAAGUUCUGUCCUAUGGGAAGAUAAUGACAGUACCAUAGAAGAAAGCUCCGGCUAAAUACGUG
Molecule: ribosomal RNA, 478 nt
Filed under: uncultured bacterium
Lineage: Bacteria
Description: partial 16S ribosomal RNA
Rfam family: Bacterial small subunit ribosomal RNA
Source: RNAcentral